AUUGAACGCUGGCGGCAGGCCUAACACAUGCAAGUCGAGCCGCAGCGGAAAGUAGCUUGCUACUUUGCCGGCGAGCGGCGGACGGGUGAGUAAUGUCUGGGAAACUGCCUGAUGGAGGGGGAUAACUACUGGAAACGGUAGCUAAUACCGCAUGACCUCGAAAGAGCAAAGUGGGGGAUCUUCGGACCUCACGCCAUCGGAUGUGCCCAGAUGGGAUUAGCUAGUAGGUGAGGUAAUGGCUCACCUAGGCGACGAUCCCUAGCUGGUCUGAGAGGAUGACCAGCCACACUGGAACUGAGACACGGUCCAGACUCCUACGGGAGGCAGCAGUGGGGAAUAUUGCACAAUGGGCGCAAGCCUGAUGCAGCCAUGCCGCGUGUGUGAAGAAGGCCUUAGGGUUGUAAAGCACUUUCAGCGAGGAGGAAGGCAUCAUACUUAAUACGUGUGGUGAUUGACGUUACUCGCAGAAGAAGCACCGGCUAACUCCGUGCCAGCAGCCGCGGUAAUACGGAGGGUGCAAGCGUUAAUCGGAAUUACUGGGCGUAAAGCGCACGCAGGCGGUUUGUUAAGUCAGAUGUGAAAUCCCCGCGCUUAACGUGGGAACUGCAUUUGAAACUGGCAAGCUAGAGUCUUGUAGAGGGGGGUAGAAUUCCAGGUGUAGCGGUGAAAUGCGUAGAGAUCUGGAGGAAUACCGGUGGCGAAGGCGGCCCCCUGGACAAAGACUGACGCUCAGGUGCGAAAGCGUGGGGAGCAAACAGG
This 759-nucleotide ribosomal RNA is filed under the name uncultured Enterobacteriaceae bacterium. RNAcentral's name for it is "bacterial SSU rRNA". It matches the Rfam family "Bacterial small subunit ribosomal RNA", at positions 28 to 776 of the family's 1533-position model. Lineage: Bacteria; Pseudomonadati; Pseudomonadota; Gammaproteobacteria; Enterobacterales; Enterobacteriaceae. The record is from RNAcentral.